Molecule: ribosomal RNA, 466 nt
Filed under: uncultured bacterium
Lineage: Bacteria
Description: partial 16S ribosomal RNA
Rfam family: Bacterial small subunit ribosomal RNA
Source: RNAcentral
UUCCAGACUCCUACGGGAGGCAGCAGUGAGGAAUAUUGGUCAAUGGGCGCGAGCCUGAACCAGCCAAGUCGCGUGAGGGAUGACGGUCCUACGGAUUGUAAACCUCUUUUGCCGGGGAGCAAGCGUGCGUUCGUGAACGCGCGUCGAGAGUACCCGGAGAAAAAGCAUCGGCUAACUCCGUGCCAGCAGCCGCGGUAAUACGGAGGAUGCGAGCGUUAUCCGGAUUUAUUGGGUUUAAAGGGUGCGCAGGCGGAUUUUUAAGUCAGCGGUAAAAUCGUGGGGCUCAACCCCAUCCAGCCGUUGAAACUGGGGAUCUAGAGUGUGCGAGAGGUAUGCGGAAUGCGUGGUGUAGCAGUGAAAUGCAUAGAUAUCACGCAGAACCCCGAUUGCGAAGGCAGCAUACCGGUGCACAACUGACGCUCAGGCACGAAAGCGUGGGUAUCGAACAGGAUUAGAUACCCCUGUA